CAGCCGCCGCGGUAAUGCGAGGGGGGCAAGCGUUGUUCGGAAUUAUUGGGCGUAAAGGGCGCGUAGGCGGUUUGGCAAGUUUCGUGUGAAAUCUUCGGGCUCAACCUGGGAAUUGCAGUGGAUACUGGAUCACUAGAGUGUGGUAGAGGAUAGUGGAAUUUCCGGUGUAGCAGUGAAAUGCGUAGAGAUCGGAAGGAACACCAACGGCGAAAGCACUCUGCUGGGCCGACACUGACACUGAGAGACGAAAGCUAGGGGAGAAAAUGGGAUUAGAUACCCGAGUAGUCCCUGUCUCUUAUAU
Molecule: ribosomal RNA, 301 nt
Filed under: uncultured bacterium
Lineage: Bacteria
Description: partial 16S ribosomal RNA
Rfam family: Bacterial small subunit ribosomal RNA
Source: RNAcentral